Molecule: ribosomal RNA, 468 nt
Filed under: uncultured bacterium
Lineage: Bacteria
Description: partial 16S ribosomal RNA
Rfam family: Bacterial small subunit ribosomal RNA
Source: RNAcentral
GACGAACGCUGGCGGCGUGCUUAACACAUGCAAGUCGAACGGAAAGGCCCUGCUUUUGUGGGGUGCUCGAGUGGCGAACGGGUGAGUAACACGUGAGUAACCUGCCCUUGACUUUGGGAUAACUUCAGGAAACUGGGGCUAAUACCGGAUAGGAGCUCCUGCUGCAUGGUGGGGGUUGGAAAGUUUCGGCGGUUGGGGAUGGACUCGCGGCUUAUCAGCUUGUUGGUGGGGUAGUGGCUUACCAAGGCUUUGACGGGUAGCCGGCCUGAGAGGGUGACCGGCCACAUUGGGACUGAGAUACGGCCCAGACUCCUACGGGAGGCAGCAGUGGGGAAUAUUGCACAAUGGGCGAAAGCCUGAUGCAGCAACGCCGCGUGCGGGAUGACAGCCUUCGGGUUGUAAACCGCUUUCGCCUGUGACGAAGCGUGAGUGACGGUAAUGGGUAAAGAAGCACCGGCUAACUACGUG